Molecule: long non-coding RNA, 829 nt
Organism: Tarenaya hassleriana
Lineage: Eukaryota; Viridiplantae; Streptophyta; Magnoliopsida; Brassicales; Cleomaceae
Exons: 2
Source: RefSeq, a predicted model, not a curated record
AGCUUCUCCAAUUAAGUUUUCAUCUUCCUUGAUUGGGUGGGUCUCUCUCUUCAUCUUCCCGAUUCGAUUCGGCCGAUGGGUCGAACCCUAAUUCGGGGAUUCCCGCGCGGGUCGUCAAGGGAGCUUCUGAGCAGAGAAAGAUUCUUGCACCGCCUUGUUUUGCAAGUUUCCAAACCGCUGCGAUAACUGGUCCGUGCAGCCAUAGGAAGCAAACGCCUCCGGACUGAAUUACUGAACAGUGCAUUGGACGGGAUUCUUUGCGGGUUCUCUGUAUUACGGUCUCUGGACCCCAAUCCACAUCGCUGCCCGCUUUCGAUAGGACGGAGACCAGAAUGGAGGGUUGCAGCCGUUGGAGUCAUCUGGGGAUGUGGCCAUGAUGCGGGUCAAGUGGAUCGGCUUUCUCAUUGAAGCCAUAAGAGGAAGACGGAGGAUAAAAACCUCGACCCGAAAACAAGAUUAGGGGUUUUGCAACAUUUGCAACGGGUUUCGUUUCUCGGGUUCCACCCGAUGAUGGUAGUGCCUGCAUUUUUUGCCUUCAAGAUUAGCAGGGGCUGCAUUUCUUGAAAUGCUCUUGGUUGGUUGGCACUGGCAAUCGCCAUGGGAAGCCUAAAGCCUAAUACUGUGUUCAUAUGUUCUGGCAGCCAACCAUUGAAAGAGAAUGCCAUUACAUCAUUCCUCAUCACCUUUCAGGUCAUGUCUGAAACUUGUUAUGUUUUUUUGUAGAAUGAGUUACGAUGUUGGAUUGUUUUCGUCUGUUUCCUGUCUUGAUUCAUAAUAGAACACAUGUUCUUCUCGUAGAUAUAUACAUCGACGACGACAGCAUUGCUUA